RNAcentral lists this ribosomal RNA (328 nucleotides) under uncultured eukaryote. RNAcentral's name for it is "partial 18S ribosomal RNA". It matches the Rfam family "Eukaryotic small subunit ribosomal RNA", at positions 1470 to 1796 of the family's 1831-position model. The record is from RNAcentral.
CCCUUAGAUGUCCGGGGCUGCACGCGCGCUACACUGAAGGAAUCAGCGUGCUAAAACCAUUGUCGAAAGGCAUUGGUAAACCCAUUAAAAUCCUACGUGAUUGGGAUCGGGAAUUGCAAUUAUUUCCCUUGAACGAGGAAUUCCCAGUAAGUGUGGGUCAUAAGCUCGCGUUGAUUACGUCCCUGCCCUUUGUACACACCGCCCGUCGCUGCCCGGGACUGAGCCGUUUCGAGAAAAGCGGGGACUGCUGCUGUCGGGGCUUUCGGGCCUUGGCUUCGGUGGAAACCGCUUUAAUCACAGUGGCUUGAACCGGGCAAAAGUCGUAACA